GCGCUGAUGAAGAGUCCCGAAAUAGGACGAAACAGCUGUCCAGUAU
Molecule: non-coding RNA, 46 nt
Organism: Trichobilharzia regenti
Lineage: Eukaryota; Metazoa; Platyhelminthes; Trematoda; Strigeidida; Schistosomatidae
Source: Rfam